Molecule: long non-coding RNA, 2452 nt
Filed under: Homo sapiens (human)
Lineage: Eukaryota; Metazoa; Chordata; Mammalia; Primates; Hominidae
Description: non-protein coding PARTICL:2
Source: RNAcentral
CUCCAGAGACCGUUCAGCUAUCUUGAGCCGCUAGAGCUAGGAGAAAAAUGCAGACGCGAGGAGACGUGGGGGAUUGCUCUUCCUUGUUUGAUGUGGGAGAAAAAGCGACUGGGGCUUGCUGGACCCGCUCCCCUGUGCGGUGACAUGGCACCUCCCUUCCGACCGUUGGCCGGGAUAGCUUUCCCGGAGGUCGCGUCCCCCAGCGGAGGCGGCGGGAAUCGCGGAGGUUUUGUGCUGCGGCUGGGGUCUUUCUGGCCGUCCCGCCUCUAGAUGCCGGGUGGCAGGGAGCCGGUGGCGGUCGGCCAUGUGAAGGUGGCCAUCUUGGCCGGCCAGCGAGGGCUCCUCACGGCCUUCCUUCGGCGUCCCUGCCCGGCUCGUUGCCGGCCCCGGGAUAUCUGAGGGGCGCAGGCCCACCUUCUAGUCGUUUCCUGGUGAAUGGCUCUGCUGAAGAUGGCCGGAAAGCAGAUUAAUGAAGGUGCUGCCAUCGAUUUAAACAAUCGCCCUCCUGCCCGCUCCCCUGCGCUAAAGUUUCUGAGGGAUCCUCACCCUUCGUGGUUCGUGGACUUAAAAGUGGAGGCAGCGCUCCAGCCUUUCCCUCCAGAGAGAAAGGAGGCCGCUCCCAAGUCCGUCCUUGCCCCGUGGCCUUCCUGUUCCUUUGAAGGGGGGGGGAAUCGAUGUUUCAAUCCUCUGUUCAGGAGAAUAUGGAACGAACAUUUCUUUUUUGGUGGGUGGGGGCUAUUCGUUCCCUUGAAUGUGCUUAAGCAGAUCUCUUGACGGCGUGGAAUGGGCUGUUUCAUGAAGCUUUCACUUUAAAAUGUCCACCUGCGUUUGUCCCAGUUUUGCCCAAUAAAGGAAUUACAGGGAAAAAGAGCGAAACAAAACUUGAGCCAGCAAGGAGUAUGGAGUCCCGUUUGGAGGGAGCCCGCCUUGGGGGCGGGGGUCUCUGCAGCCUGUUCUGGGGCUGGGCCUCGGUGCAGGUCUGGUCGGGCUGGUGGCCUGGUGGCCCUGAGCGGAGCGCGUGACAAGAACGCCGGGUUUAAUGAGGUUCUCAGGGAACGGCCUGCUCCUAGCAUGGGAUGUACUUUACGCUGGGGAGGUGAAGGAGACCCCUAGUAACAGUCUCCAGCUGCCUACUGCUGGCGGCAGUAGAACAAGGUGCAUUCCCAAGAACAAUCCUCUCCGUCGGUGCAGGAGGAAAGGUGGGAUUUGCUAAAGGCUCAGUGGGAAACAAAGGAAGCACUUGGGCUGUGCUGGGGGCAUCCACAAAGAAGAUAAAGGGCUCCUCCCCAGACUCAGUGACCACAUCCACGGUCGCUCAAAGCAGGCAGCAAGAAAAGGUUCGACCACAAAAGAGACAAUAGGUGAUGAUAUUUUUAUUCGUUGCUUUUUACUUUUCAAGCUAACCCUUCAUGGGAAAGUAACUGUAUAAGACUAUUAAAUUUUUUUGUUAUUUUUUAAAGGAGAAUGCCAAUUUAUUAACUUACAAUGUGUAAUAAAAUUGUCAACUGGAACAAAAUGCGUGUGUAGGCUGGUCAGUGCAUUAUCUCCCAGCAGAAAAAUCUAUAUGGGAAGCCAGAAUAUAACUAGAAGGUUAUUUUAUUAGGGAGUCAGAACAAGGAGCGUAAAGUCAAUGAUUGGCUCAUUAAAUCCUGAUACCCCUGUGCUACCAACUCCACAGUGGGGCUAGGCCUGCCAAGGAGAUGAGAUUUAGCUGUACAUAGUUGCUUACCUACUUCUCUCACUUGUGAAUAGUGUGUAGGUGUAAUACAGUAAGAGUAGGGGUUUGGAGUCACGACCUCUCUAUGCAUCAGUAUCCUCGUUCUGUAAAAUUGGAAUAUUAAUAGUACAUCAUAGGAUUGUUUCAAGGAUUCAAAUAGUGCAAGUAGAGUCUUUAGCACAGUAUCUAGUACAUAAUUUGUUUUAAUGUAAGCUGUAAAAAAAUUAACUAUAUUUGCUGUGAAUUACUUUUCAGUGGCUUUCAAUUGCUGUCGGGAUACGGACUAAAAUCUCUACAUACUCAAGGCCCCAGUGUGAUUUGGCUGCUACUUCUGCAACCUUACCUUGUGCCACACUCUCCUUUCUGUGUUCUACUUGGAUUUUUUAGUUAGUAGCAGUUAAUUUUAUUAAUUUCAUAGUAUCAAAACAAAGGAGGACACAUUUUCCUGGCUAACUCCUUAUCCUUCUCACUCCAGCUCAGCUACCACUUCCUGGAUGAAGCCUUCAUCUACACAGAUUUGUCACAGGGGCCUGUGUUUUAUUUCAUGGCACUAAGUGCAGUUUCAAAUUAUAGAUUUGGUGAUUAUUUGAUGAAUGUCUCCAAUUCCCAGUUAGGCUUGUAAGCUCCAUGAUAAUGAGAAGGUGGGCUGUUUUGCUCAAGCUUUGUUACUGAAUGCCUGGCACACACAAGGUGCUUAGAAAUGUUCAAGAGGGAGAGACAAGAAAGGAAGGGAAG